CCUACGGGGGGCAGCAGUGGGGAAUAUUGGUCAAUGGGCGAGAGCCUGAACCAGCCAAGUAGCGUGCAGGAUGACGGCCCUAUGGGUUGUAAACUGCUUUUAUGCGGGGAUAAAGUGCUCCACGUGUGGGGCAUUGCAGGUACCGCACGAAUAAGGACCGGCUAAUUCCGUGCCAGCAGCCGCGGUAAUACGGAAGGUCCAGGCGUUAUCCGGAUUUAUUGGGUUUAAAGGGAGCGUAGGCCGAUGGCCAAGCGUGUUGUGAAAUGUGGACGCUCAACGUCCGACUUGCAGCGCGAACUGGCCGUCUUGAGUGCGCGCAACGUUGGCGGAAUUCGUCGUGUAGCGGUGAAAUGCUUAGAUAUGACGAAGAACUCCGAUUGCGAAGGCAGCUGACGGGAGCGCAACUGACGCUGAAGCUCGAAGGUGCGGGUAGCGAACAGGAUUAGAUACCCUGGUAGUC
RNAcentral lists this ribosomal RNA (460 nucleotides) under uncultured Prevotella sp. RNAcentral describes it as "bacterial SSU rRNA". It matches the Rfam family "Bacterial small subunit ribosomal RNA", at positions 338 to 795 of the family's 1533-position model. Lineage: Bacteria; Pseudomonadati; Bacteroidota; Bacteroidia; Bacteroidales; Prevotellaceae. The record is from RNAcentral.